Entelurus aequoreus (snake pipefish) is the source of this 1367-nucleotide long non-coding RNA. RefSeq lists it as uncharacterized. NCBI's taxonomy places the organism in Eukaryota, Metazoa, Chordata, Actinopteri, Syngnathiformes, Syngnathidae. The transcript is spliced from 6 exons. The record is from RefSeq and is a predicted model, not a curated record.
GAUCGGAAAUGCUUGCCUCCAGCUGGUUCAGGAAGCUGCUCAGAGACAUUGUUACAGGGCAAAGAUGUCUUCAUUGCCAACAUGUACAUUGUACCAACGUGGAAGCACAAAGACGUUGAUCCAAUGUCAAGCCUUCCAAGGGAUGCACAUCUAAAGGAUGCACUCCUCUUCCCAGCGUGGAGCAAGCACAACGGGCCAGAGCAUUGCCUUCUCUGUGUAAGUGUUGAAAAGAAAAAUACUGGAGAUAUCUUAUAAUUCUUGUGCAAUUACAUUAUUUAUGCCUCUUUCUGCAUUGACCAUUGUAGGUGUUGAGGCCGGCAAAGAGAGAAAUUCUCUUGCUGGACUCUCAGUUUGCCCUUUGGCCAUCUGGUUUUGGCGAUGAGGUGUACAGAGCCAUCUUUAGGUCCCUUUAUAAUAAUCCUGGCCACAGUUCCAUUUUGGCCACUUUUUGUUCCAGCCAUGUUCUGGUUUUGGCUAUGGUUCUGUUCUAGUCAUCUUUCCCUUCCCCGCUAUGCUCAUGUUUUAGACAUGUUCUUCUUUCGGCUAUGUUCUCAUUCUAGCCAUGUUCCAGUGGUGUGCUACAAGGGUCCCCAACCACAGAGUCAUGGACCAGUACUGGUGAAACGAUAUUUUGUUCAUGCUUUGGCAGUGUUCUAAUAGAAUUUUCACUUGUUUAUUUACAAUUUGUCUUCAUGUUUUAAUAUGCCAAGUGGCUUAUUGCAUUUUAUUUUAUUCACAUUUGGCUUUUUUACUGCAGGAGCAUUGCGCAGCACAUCGUCCCAGGAAGCUGGAGUGAGCUCACUGGAAAAGACAUGCAGGAGAUCCCACGCCAGACCUCGGGGAAUGACUGUGGUGUUUUCAUGCUCAUGAUAAGUUGAGCAUUUUUAAAGAAGAAGAUACUCCCUCUGGCUCUGUACGGACACUACCUUUCACUACAGUGUGCUGGACAUGCAGUCAAUCCGGCGUUGGUGGUGUGUCCUUCUAAUGGAGCGCUUUGGCAUUGACGGGUAGGACAACUUUUUGAAAUAUCUGAUGUAUUGUUUAUCAUGAUUAGUAGCUGCCUGCGAUGAGGUGGCGACUUGUCCAGGGCGUACCCUGCCUUCCGCCCGAAUGCAGCUGAGAUAGGCUACAGUGACCCCCCGCGACCCCAAAAAGGGACAAGCGGUAGAAAAUGGAUGGAUGGAUGGAUUAGUAACUGUAAUCUGAAGAGCUUUUCCUUCAAUUUCCCCAAAGGCAUGGCCAGAGGUUCUGUUAUUGGACAGACAAGGCGAGCAGCCUAUUGCAGGGCAUUCUUCAGCCAGUCUUUAGGGCAUGGGUCACCAACCUUUUUGAAACCAAGAGCUACUUCUUGGGUACUUAUUAAUGCG